This 673-nucleotide long non-coding RNA is filed under the name Trifolium pratense (red clover). RNAcentral's name for it is "long non-coding RNA (TPRA_LNC008256)". The record is from RNAcentral. Lineage: Eukaryota; Viridiplantae; Streptophyta; Magnoliopsida; Fabales; Fabaceae.
ACAGACCUUCACUAAAAUGAUAAUUAAUCUCUCUUUGUAACUCCAAAUUUUGUGGAGUUUGAUUCUGUGGAAAACUAACUCGAUUUCGGUCAUUUCGGUACCAGUUUGGUGAAUUAUGGAUCCAAAUGGAAUUCUGUACGAAGUUUUGAAGUUGUGACUCGAAAGCAGAUUUUGUGCAGAAUAUUUGGGGGACAUACCUUCACUAAAAUGGUAAUUAAUCUCUCUUUGUAACUCCAAAUUUAGUGGGGUUUGAUUCUGUGGAAAGAUAACUCGAUAACAGUCAUUUUGAUAUCCGUUUGGUGAAUUAUUGAUUCAAAUUGAGUUGUGUGCGAAGCUUUGAAGUUGUGACUCGAAAGCAGAUUUUGUGCAGAAUUUUGGGGGACAUACCUUCACUAAAACGGUAAUUAAUCUCUCUUUGUAACUCCAAAUUUUGUGGGGUUUGAUUCUGUGGAAAGAUAACUCGAUCACGGUCAUUUCGAUAUCUGUUUGGUGAAUUAUUGAUUCAAAUUGAGUUGUGUGCGAAACUUUGAAGUUGUGAAUUGAAAGCAGAAUUUUAGGGGGGGCAAAAUCCAAAAAAUUAUAAAACAGAGGGGGUAAAAGUCCGCGUUUUAAAACAGGGGGGUAAAAUUCCGAUUUAAUCAAAACAGGGGGGCAAAACUGCAUUUAAGCCUUU